CAACUACUCCCUUUGUCCCAAAGUUCUUGUCUUAGAUUUUUCUAGAUACAGAUGUAUCUAAUACUAAAAUGUGACUUGAUACACCCUUAUCUAGACAAAUCUAAGACAAGAAUUUUGGGACGGAGGGAGUACUUU
Molecule: non-coding RNA, 135 nt
Organism: Triticum aestivum (bread wheat)
Lineage: Eukaryota; Viridiplantae; Streptophyta; Magnoliopsida; Poales; Poaceae
Source: Rfam